UUUUAUACUUAAAAAAAAAUGUGGUGCGACUUAAGAUGCUGGACGGCCACGCAAGUUAGCUAAAAUGGCUAACGUUAGCUAAUGUCCGGAGAUAAAUUGAAGGCCGGGAUGAAGGGCCGUGCUUAAUUUAUGAAAAAGUCCGUGACAAGAUAAUGGAGUGUCGCAAGAAUUGGGGAGAUGUUACAGAAUAACAAGUAAAACCUCCUGUGUUUCGGUUUGAAGUUUAACUGUGGUGAAAAAUAGGCGUCACAUGAGCAGUGAGUUAUUGCUGGCCACGCUAAAUGUUACUGCAGCAGCCUACAUCUGACGUUGACAUAUAGUCAAAUCGUUCUUCGGUUCUCCGUGCCGUAUUCCAGGGCCUCGACUUUACUUUUUUGUACCGGCAAUUAGACUAAGCAUGCAGUUACCCAGUUUCCGGGAGCUUAGGUGCUACCGGAACAGGUCGAUGUGUGACGAAAAGUGGCGAUCGAUUUGAUUCAGGCGCCGAUAGUUAGGAAUGAGCGUGUUGAAAUUCUCCAUUAUUGGGGACCCUUUUUCCAAGAUGUACGUUCAUUUAAUCCCAAUUAAAUUAAUAAAUGAGAAUUAUGCUGGAAUUAUGUGACAACCUAUCAACCUAAAUGAUCACACAUAUAACAGUCUGUUAUGUGGAGUGCUUGGCGUGGAUUCUAUUAACCGUUCGACCUUGGACUCACUGAAGUUUUUAAACAAAAUCUUCCUUUUAAGUUAUUCAUUUUCGAUAUUUAAGAAAUGUAACUGUCACUAAUUCCCUCUACCUUACUGCAUGUUGUUUAGCACUGAGAUUUACCACAGUCAUGUCCACGAACUAGUCUUCCUUAUCCCUUCAAACAUCAUUUGAAAUGAAGCAAAUGUAUUGCAAUGCUGCUGUGUAUGUCGCUUAAGUUUUGAAGUUGGAAUGCUGCCCCCUACCCCCUGUAUAUGGACACAGGGAAAAUCAUUGGUACCCCAUAUGGUGCUCACCUCUCCAUUUGACUUAUGGAUGCUCCAGUACUCCAGGAGUAUUCGAGAAUUGUAAAUGUGGAAUUUUGACAAGAUAGUCUAUUUGUCUUCCGUUCAUGUGCAUGUACUCUAUUGCUUUGAUCACUUUGAAUGCAGAGACCAUGUUUACAGGAUGUUUAGUUAUAAAGGCCGGUCUCGAGCGCUGUAGGGCAGCAGUGUAGAGCAGUGCUUCAGGAACUGGCCAUGUAACUGUGAGCUUCAGUGUAUAUCUUGCUGUAUAAGUGGAUACUAUGUCAAAUGCAAGAAAGCAAAGUUGUGCAAGUUUCUCUGGAGAAAGGCAUCGGCUAAAUGCCCCUGCCCCUAAUGUAAUGUUGUGUUGUGUUGUGCUGAGUAGAGGCAUCAGUUAUCACAGAUUGUACCCCAAAUACUGAUCACCCUUUUCUAUGGAAUACUUAUUGGAUGACCAUAUAGUGGACUUCUCUACACCCAUGAGAGCAAUGUAAAAAGUUUUGAGUGAAGAUGAAAGGCUGUGAAUGGCACCAUUGAUCAGUGACAAUAAUGAAGGUCCUUUAAAUUGGACCGGCAACACAUUUAGCGCCUACUAAAUGAUAGAAUAGAGGCCAUUUUAAAACAUUGUGUUCCGGUGCUGUUUCUGAUAUAGCCUUCUGCUGCUUGCACUACGUGUGCAGAUGUAUUGCUUUUCUGUGUGCAUCGUGCUGGAGUUCAGGAAACUUUUUUUUUUGUGCAGAGCAAACAGACCCACCAAACAAAUCCAAACACUGCAUGUCCUAUAGAAAGACAUUUCUCUGGUAAAGUACAGUUACGUGGGAAAUAUGACCGACUGUUCAUUUGAUGUAAGUUGGGUUGAUGUACAAGCGGGAUGUGGGCACAUAGAUAAUAGUGUAUCCCAGCAGGAUCGGUUUCUUAAGCCCUGCUGAGCUUCAGUUGCAUUACAGCUCAUCCCACUUAGUUUCCCCCAGACUGUAACCGAAGAUGACGGCUGUAACCGAGUCUUUACUGGGAAAACCUUUGUUCGGUGGUUAACGGUCCUCCACCUUUUGUAUUGAGUGUUUACGGGUAAAAACAGUUCCGUUUCUCUCACUUUGUUUGGGCUUGUUCUGGUUUCUGUCACACCUAACAAGGCUGCCAGCUCAGUUCCCCUUAAAGCAGUUUACCUCAGCAGUAAAUGUCUCUCCAGCAUUCCUUGUUAUUUUAGUCUAGUAUAUUAAUGCUAAAUUUAUAGGCUCUUUGACAAGGAUUUGGCAUAUAAACUAUAGUAGAGCUUCCAUAUUGAAGUAAAAAAAAAAUGCAGAAGGCCUGCUUCUGUGCAGUAAAAUGAGUGGAACAUUUGGCUCUGUAGUUACAAUGAAGCUCUUUUUGGAGAGAUGUUGCACAUAACAAGGUUAAAACGAUGCUGGCUCCAUAAUACACUAGAUUGUAAAGAGAAGCCUAGCUGGAAAUGCUAGUUACCAAUUAUCUUGAUAUCUUGAUAUCUUCUCAAAAAUAAAAAGCUAUAUACAUUCUAUAACGCCCGACCAAUAGGUGGCUUCUGCAGAUAGGCCAUGUCUGUUUUGGGGAAAAUCCUACCAAUAUAGUCUCUUGAAACGUCAUCGUGUUACCAACCCGCUUCACUAACAUGGGGUUUCAGAGGGUCCCUCUCACUGAACUCUAUGGUCUAUCUGUUAUCACACUGGAGAAGUUUCGAGACGCCUGGGCUGGUAGAGUUACAUCACGUGCGACUGCACUGCACACUUGAGUAUAAUGUUCUCGCAACUUUUAAUCUGUAGCCAGUGGUAGGAGUGCAAUCACUGUAUCGGUUAUUAAGGGUGGAGAACAAUCGAUAAACUCCCCCCUCCCAAAGUUUUUUCCUCCUGGAUUUUCACUACUGAGCAGACAUGUUUUGAGUUUCACCAAUCUCUUGCCGUGAGUUAGCCGACGUUUGAGCUUUAUAAUGUUCGACUUAAUGGUCUGUCAGAGGAAUUAUGCAGAUGAUAAUUUAUGACUUCUGAUAGUUUCUCUAUCAUCUCCAUGUUUAUAAACACCAUUCAAAACCAAAAUAAUGAAGUGAAGAAAAAAAAACCUCACAUAAAUCAAUGAAACCAAAUUAUGACAUUCCCUCUGGCUGUGUUCCCUCUGAAAUAACAAAAUAGCAAUGCACGACAUUGAGAGUAUUGAGCAACACUUUUAGUUAAAAAUUUUACAAGCGACGCUUGUUGAAAGCGUUGUGUGAAGAAGUAUAAAUUAGGCCUUAAUCAAGUCACAAGCGAUCUGCUGGGAGUAAAAUUAAUGGGUCAGUGGCAGAAAUGGCUGGUGAUUCUCUGUCGUUUUUGCUCAUCUACUUAUUGGCAGAUUCAAAGUGUUUUCAGACAGAUGCUCGCUCGUUUGCCACUUGUUUAUCACAGGUUAUAUUUCGGCAGGCUGCUGUUGGACCUUCACUCAUUUUCUCUUAUUUACGCACUGUGAAAUGUUCACCAUUAAAUCAACUCUUACAGAGUUUAUACGAGUCCACUAUUGUCAGACUGGACUGGUGUAAACUUUUGAGUUGAAUUAACACCAGAUGUUUUACUGUAUAACCUGCACUAAAUACAUUUCUAAACAUAGAAACAUACAACUGAUACAUUCAUUCCUCAUCGCAUGCGUAGCUAUUUCUAACAUAAGGAGGCUUAAGAGGGUAAAUAAUCCCCCUAAACAUGAAAAGCACAUAAGAAAAAUUAACAGCUUGUUGAAAUUCUGGGAUUGCGAUUGCGGUUGGAACGGAAACCAGCGUACACAGUACGAGCUUGGGAAGCACUGCUCUAGUCUAUAAUGCCUUUGUUUGGGUUUGGUGCUCUCAGUGAUGUCCAAGAUUAGGUUAGUAGUGCACAGUGCCAUAAUGCAGUUUGCUUUGUCCUACGAUGAAAAGGAUGCGAUUAAGUAAGCACAGGUUCUUUGGGUGAGUGCUGUAUUAAUUUCCCUCAAUAAAAUAUCAGGCUCCCAGAGGAUACCAGCUGUCCCUUUUGGUUAGCACCCAGUGUUUGUACAGUGCGGCCUGUAGAAAAUGAUAGUUGGUACAUGGGCAGAUGCAGAUGGCACAGCGGUGACUCUGCAAAAUUUGGACAUGGAACAAAAACAAAAA
This is a long non-coding RNA of Anguilla anguilla (European eel), 4072 nucleotides long. RefSeq lists it as uncharacterized. The record is from RefSeq and is a predicted model, not a curated record. The transcript has 2 exons. NCBI's taxonomy places the organism in Eukaryota, Metazoa, Chordata, Actinopteri, Anguilliformes, Anguillidae.